AGAGCGAACGCUGGCGGCAGGCCUAACACAUGCAAGUCGAACGAACUCUUCGGAGUUAGUGGCAGACGGGUGAGUAACGCGUGGGAACGUGCCCUUUGGUUCGGAACAACUCAGGGAAACUUGAGCUAAUACCGAAUGUGCCCUUCGGGGGAAAGAUUUAUCGCCAUUGGAGCGGCCCGCGUUGGAUUAGCUAGUUGGUGAGGUAAAGGCUCACCAAGGCUACGAUCCAUAGCUGGUCUGAGAGGAUGAUCAGCCACACUGGGACUGAGACACGGCCCAGACUCCUACGGGAGGCAGCAGUGGGGAAUCUUGCGCAAUGGGCGAAAGCCUGACGCAGCCAUGCCGCGUGAAUGAUGAAGGUCUUAGGAUUGUAAAAUUCUUUCAGCAGGGACGAUAAUGACGGUACCUGCAGAAGAACGCCCGGCUAACUUCGUGCCAGCAGCCGC
This 446-nucleotide ribosomal RNA is filed under the name uncultured bacterium. RNAcentral's name for it is "SSU rRNA". It matches the Rfam family "Bacterial small subunit ribosomal RNA", at positions 26 to 518 of the family's 1533-position model. The record is from RNAcentral.